Termitomyces sp. T159_Od127 is the source of this 103-nucleotide non-coding RNA. The record is from the annotation of a GenBank genome assembly. NCBI's taxonomy places the organism in Eukaryota, Fungi, Basidiomycota, Agaricomycetes, Agaricales, Lyophyllaceae.
GGUGAGAUGGCCGAGCGGUCCAAGGCGCCAGACUAAGGUUUCAUAGUGACAAGUCUCCAAUCUGGUCUCUUCGGGGGCGGGAGUUCGAAUCUCCCUCUCAUCA